Molecule: ribosomal RNA, 253 nt
Filed under: uncultured bacterium
Lineage: Bacteria
Description: partial 16S ribosomal RNA
Rfam family: Bacterial small subunit ribosomal RNA
Source: RNAcentral
UACGAAGGGGGCUAGCGUUGCUCGGAAUUACUGGGCGUAAAGCGCACGUAGGCGGAUCGUUAAGUCGGGGGUGAAAUCCUGGAGCUCAACUCCAGAACUGCCUUCGAUACUGGCGAUCUCGAGUUCGGGAGAGGUGAGUGGAACUGCGAGUGUAGAGGUGAAAUUCGUAGAUAUUCGCAAGAACACCAGUGGCGAAGGCGGCUCACUGGCCCGGUACUGACGCUGAGGUGCGAAAGCGUGGGGAGCAAACAGG